AUUGAACGCUGGCGGCAUGCUUUACACAUGCAAGUCGAACGGUAACAGGGUGCUUGCACCGCUGACGAGUGGCGAACGGGUGAGUAAUGCGUCGGAACGUGCCGAGUAGUGGGGGAUAACGCAGCGAAAGUUGUGCUAAUACCGCAUACGUACUGAGGUAGAAAGUGGGGGACCUUCGGGCCUCACGCUAUUCGAGCGGCCGACGUCUGAUUAGCUAGUAGGUGAGGUAAAGGCUCACCUAGGCGACGAUCAGUAGCGGGUCUGCGGGGAUGCUCCGCCACACUGGGACUGAGAAACGGCCAAGGCUCAUACGGGAGGCAGCAGUGGGGAAUUUUGGACAAUGGGCGAAAGCCGGAUCCAGCCAUGCCGCGUGUCUGAAGAAGGCCUUCGGGUUGUAAAGGACUUUUGUCAGGGAGGAAAUCCCUAGUGCUAAUAACACUGGGGGAUGACAGUACCUGAAGAAUAAGCACCGGCUAACUACGUGCCAGCCGCCGCCGUAA
RNAcentral lists this ribosomal RNA (500 nucleotides) under uncultured bacterium. RNAcentral describes it as "partial 16S ribosomal RNA". It matches the Rfam family "Bacterial small subunit ribosomal RNA", at positions 30 to 523 of the family's 1533-position model. The record is from RNAcentral.